GAAAUGCGAUAAGUAGUGUGAAUUGCAGAAUUCAGUGAAUCAUCGAAUCUUUGAACGCACAUUGCGCCCGCCAGUAUUCUGGCGGGCAUGCCUGUUCGAGCGUCAUUUCAACCAUCAAGCCCCGGGCUUGUGUUGGGGACCUGCGGCUGCCGCAGGCCCUGAAAAGCAGUGGCGGGCUCGCUGUCACACCGAGCGUAGUAGCAUACAUCUCGCUCUGGGCGUGCUGCGGGUUCCGGCCGUUAAACCACCUUCGUAACCCAAGGUUGACCUCGGAUCAGGUAGGGAUACCCGCUGAACUUAAGC
This 303-nucleotide unclassified non-coding RNA is filed under the name plant metagenome. RNAcentral's name for it is "partial contains 5.8S ribosomal RNA, internal transcribed spacer 2, and large subunit ribosomal RNA". The stretch from base 1 to 105 matches the Rfam family "5.8S ribosomal RNA", at positions 50 to 154 of the family's 154-position model. The record is from RNAcentral.